UACGUAGGUGGCGAGCGUUGUCCGGAAUUAUUGGGCGUAAAGGGCGCGUAGGUGGGAUAGUCAGUCUGUCUUAAAAGUGCGGGGCUCAACCCCGUGAUGGGGCGGAAACUGCUAUUCUUGAGUGCAGGAGAGGAAAGCGGAAUUCCCAGUGUAGCGGUGAAAUGCGUAGAUAUUGGGAGGAACACCAGUGGCGAAGGCGGCUUUCUGGACUGUGUCUGACACUGAGGCGCGAAAGCUAGGGGAGCGAACGGG
This 252-nucleotide ribosomal RNA is filed under the name Sporomusaceae bacterium. RNAcentral's name for it is "partial 16S ribosomal RNA". It matches the Rfam family "Bacterial small subunit ribosomal RNA", at positions 524 to 776 of the family's 1533-position model. RNAcentral also lists the same sequence under 1 other name. Lineage: Bacteria; Bacillati; Bacillota; Negativicutes; Selenomonadales; Sporomusaceae. The record is from RNAcentral.